Molecule: small RNA, 28 nt
Filed under: Bombyx mori (domestic silkworm)
Lineage: Eukaryota; Metazoa; Arthropoda; Insecta; Lepidoptera; Bombycidae
Description: ovarian small RNA-37088
Source: RNAcentral
UUCAUUGUUUAAGGCAGGUUGAUCUGGU